GAAAGAACUCUGCCAGGGCUCUCCGCUCUCUUCGGAAGGUGGAGGAUCUUUCUCCUGUGGCUUCCAUGGACUCCCAGGGCGUAGAACAGGCAGAUCCUCAGAUCCCUGUUUGUGAUAGAAUCUUGAGACCCUGCAGAAUAUUCACAGAUGAAACGAACGGUGGCAUAGAGCACACCCCUUCCCCUUUGUGGAGAAGUGUGCACCACCCUGCCCUCAGAAACCUUCGAGAAUUAAAUAGUUAAAUUUCUGUCAUACACAAUCAAAAGACCAUUGGAUUAACAUCUUGAGCUGCAGUGCAGAAUAAUGUCAUUGAGAAAGCUCUAGAAUUGGAAGAGAAGAAAGAAUUUCAAGCUUUGACAUAACUUAUGAGCAUUCAAUAAGAGUGAGUAAUUUAGAUUCUUUACCACUUUCAUUAUUGUAAAAUAAAGAUAUCAACUUUUGCUCAUCUCAUAAAUCUUGAGGAAGUUCAGUAAAAGCAGUGUAUGCAAUGGACUUUGCUAUAUAGGAUUACAUUUUGUAGUUGCAGUAACAGAUAGAUGGAGUCCUGGAGUUUUUACGUUCUAAUACUGUUGAGAAAUACACCUGUAAGUUCUCAGUAUUCACCUGCCUUUAUGCGUAAACAUCACAAACUCAUGAGUAAGCUUGUGAACAAGAUAGAAUAGAAAAUAACAGGUGGAAUCUUUCCAUUUAUAGUACACACAUCUGAUGGUUUAUUGGAUAUAUAAUUGCUAAGUUUUCCUAGCAGAGUGAUUGAUGACAAACUUUAAAACUAUGCUCUGUGAAAUUACCAGUGCUUUUUUGCUGCUGAGAAGCAUACUAAUGCAGCUCGAAGGAGGAAAUUUUCAGGACAUUUUCAAGUCUCUCACAUGGACUUCAUGGACUAAUUCAGUGAGUAUUAGCCCUUCUGCUGCAUUGUGAAAGGUUCUUGCCUGCCCUUGAAUUUUUGAACUUGCCUAUGUAUGAUUUGAUGUGUAAUCCAGAUAGCAAAUAAAAUAAACACAUUAUUCCUUCUACUUAAUUUUAAUAUUAUGUACUGUAUUGGUAACUUCAGUCUUCUAGAAAAUGUUUAAAAUAUGUUGGCAUUCAACUGGAAGCAGCAGCUGAAUUUUCUGUUAAAAAUUCAGACUCUAAUAUUGGUUUGGGUGAUGAGGUGAUUGGUAAUGAUAUCUGGAGCUCUGUCCCAGCUCUUGGAGUGCUGAAGUUAGAGCUGUCUACCCCGUGUUCAUUGAUUUCUAAACUGAGUAGCUGGGCCCUUGUCUGGGUUCAGUGAUCCACAGCAGAAACAACAUGAAGGCUGAAGCCAUGACUGUAAUAUGUGUGAUCUGGUCAGAGACGGCCUACGUGGGCCAUGCCUUGAAACUGAUCCACUUUUCUCCAAGGCAGAGUUGAGACACUGAUACAGAAAUAUGACCCAGGUGAUGUCUUAAGGGCUGGAGCUGAUCUCAUUUCAAUUUCCAUUCCUUUUUUUUUUGAGACUGAGUUUCACUUUUGUUACCCAGGCUGGAGUGCAAUGGCGCGAUCUCGGCUCACCGCAACCUCCACCUCCUGGGUUCAGGCAAUUCUCCUGCCUCAACCUCCCGAGUAGCUGGGAUUACAGGCACACGCCACCAUGCCCAGCUAAUUUUUUAUAUUUUUAGUAGAGACGGGAUUUCACCAUGUUGACCAGCAUGGUCUCGAUCUCUUGACCUCGUGAUCCACCCACCUCGGCCUCCCAAAGUGCUGGGAUUACACGUUUGAGCCACAAUUUCCAUUUCUUAAAUGUACCCAUGCAAUGCCUUUAAAUCCAGCCACAGAAAAGAGCAAAGGAAGAUCUCACUGGUUUUCUUCUUGGUCUUGUUGUUGUGGCAGGAAAGCACUUAACAACUGAAAUCAUAUUCUGUGCAUGUUGAGAGUCUGUCCAGUUCGAUCAAGUGUAAUCUGAUUGCAAGCCCGAGCCACCUGAGGCCUGCAAGAGGCAGAUACUGUCACGACUCAAUUUUCCACAAUCGUC
This is a long non-coding RNA of Callithrix jacchus (white-tufted-ear marmoset), 1990 nucleotides long. NCBI's taxonomy places the organism in Eukaryota, Metazoa, Chordata, Mammalia, Primates, Cebidae. The record is from Ensembl.